UAUAUAUGUAGGCACACACACAUACACACAUAUAAAAGCUCAUAAAGAACCAAGAACACAAAGAGGAUACUCCAUUUCUUCAUAAGAGAUGGCAAACCACAAAACACAUAUGUGCUCACUUCUCAUUGCACUACUAGUCUUUGCAUCGAGUAUACUCUCUCUCUCUCUCUCUCUCUCUCUCUCUCUCUCUCCUCAGACUAUUUAUCUUUGUUUCUUUGGAUCUAUGAUUAUGUCCAUCCAAAUGAUUGUUCUUACAUAACUUUUCUUUACAUCAUUUGCAUAUAUAUGUAGCUUGGAAGCCCACCAUGCAGCUUCCACCUUGUUGGCACCACCCAGAGAAGUUCAGCAUAUGCUUUGCCACUUGGAGGGAAGAAAUAUGCAACAAGCUAUGCAUUGCCGAGAACUACGAGUAUGGGGCUUGUGCCAUGAUUUACCCAGUGCCGCGUUGCGUCUGCCACAAGCGUCAUUGUCAUGACACUUAACCAUGAUGAGUGAUGUAUUUAGGAUGUUUAUGUGAUAAUAAAGGGAUGGUGGUGUUUUUCAUCAUUUUGAAACAUAAGUAUUUAACAAAGUGAGCCUGAGUUCUUUCCAGUAUUGACCAAAAGACUUCUAAUGAACAUGGUUGAAUGUAUGUGUAUUGCUUGAUGAAUUUCACGAUUGCAAAGAGAGAUAAUAUUAUAUACAUGUAAUAUAUAAACAUGUAGUUAAAAAUGUCACAAAACUCUAGUCAUCUAAUUAUAUUAAUAAUGUUAUUUUAGAUCAUGCCAGACAUGAGCUGGUUCUCAGCAAAUCAAACCUUGAUUAAUUUCCCAUCCAAUUCUAUUAAAAAUGUUAUUUCGGUUGCAAAUAAUCACUAAGUAAUUGUCAUGAAGAAACCAAACUAAAUGGAAUUAUUAAAAUGCCCCAAACCUAUUUAAUACUGAACCGACAACAUUUAAUAAGUCCAUUUCAAUAUAAUAAAUAAUCAAACAUUUCAAAAUAAAUUGUAAAUUGAUGUGCUAGCUCCACACUUUCCAUAGUAUUUUGUGACAAGUUCAUCAUUUACAACAAAAGUCAAUUGAUCUGUAAAUAAAAUAAAAGCAAAGAAAACUCAACGAUAGAUUGAUAGAUGCAAAUAAAACUCAACGAGAUAUUUUUGGGUUUUUGAUAAAAUAGAUCUGGAAAAAGAGGUAAAUAAAUUGGAAACACAAAUAGCAUUGUAGAUCUGAAAAUAUAUAAUAGGAAAUAGACUCGGGGGCCGUAGAUUUCACUAGCGGCUUCUCUCAGAAAAAUAGUAUACGGUGGGUAAACAAAUUACUGUUGGGCAAUUGAUAGAGAAGAAAAUAAUUAUGACGAUAUCCAGGACUAUGAUCAUGCAUAUAGGCAUCAUGUCCAAGAUUAGUAGACCGACUCUUGCCUGCAUCUACUACUAUUACUCCACACAUCGACCGCUAUCCAGCAUGCAUCUAGUGUAUUAAUUUCAAGGAAACACGGAGUAAUGCAAUAAGAAUGAUGACAUGAUGUAGAUAAGAUCUAUUCAUGUAGGAAUAGACCCCAUCUUUUUAUCCUUAAUAGCAAUGAUACAUGUUUGUCAUCUCUCUUUCUGUCAUUCAGAAUAAGCACCGCAAGAUCCAACCCAUUACAAGGCACCUCUUCCCAUUGCAAAAUAAAUCAAUCAAGUUGGCAAAACAAAACCAAAAUAUUGGGGAAGAAAUAUGAGGCUAUAAUAAUCAUGCAUGGGUAGAUCUGAUUGUAAACUCAUAAUUCAUCGGAUCCCAACAAACACACUUCAAAAAGUCAUUACAUCAAAUAUAUCUCCAAGAACAUCGAGGAGAACAUUGUAUUCAGAAUCACAAAGAGAGAAAAAAGGCAUCUAGCUACUGCCUACGGACUUGUAGGUCUCUUGUAAACUACUCACGGAGCGCCAAUGAGGAUGGUGAACCCCUCCGUGAUCGUUUCCCCCUCUGGCAAGGUUCCAGAAUAGGGCUCUACAUUUGAUCUCAUGGUUCUGGGACUUGCGGCGGCUGGAAUUGUGUUUCGUCGACUCCCCUAGGGUUUUUGGAAUAUUCGGGUAUUUAUAGACCUGAGAGGCGACGGAGAAGCUUCCCAUGGGCCCCACAAGGCAUCAGGACACGUGCUACUUCUUGAGCUUGUGUCGGUUUUCCCUUGAAGAGGAAUGGGUGAUGCAACAAAGUAGAGAUAAAUAUUCCCUCACUUAAGAACCAAGGUAUCAAUCCAGUAGGAGGAACACACAAAUCUCCAAUGAUGGCACCUGCACAAACAAAAAAUACUUGCACCCAACACGAUAAAGCAGUUGUCAGUCCCAUCACUGUUACUUGCAAGGAUGAGAUCUGAUAGAGAUAGAUGUAAAACAAGAUAAAAUUAAAUAAAAGUUAGCGACGUAUUUUUAGAUUUUUGGGUUUUAUAGAUCUGAAAAUAAUAUGGUAAAGAUAGACCCCGGGGGCCAUAGGUUUCACUAGAGGCUUCUCUCUUGAAUGAAAACAUAUGGUGGGUAAAGAAAUUAUUGUUGAGCAAUUGGUAGAAAAGCGCAUAAUUAUGAUGAUAUCUAAGGCAAUGAUCAUGAAUAUAGACAUCACGUCUGUGACAAGUAGACCUACUCAUGGCUGCAUCUAUUACUAUAACUCCACACAUCGACCGCUAUCCAGCAUGCGUCUAGUGUAUUAAGUUAACAAGAAUGGAGUAACGCUUUAAGCAAUAUGACAUGAUGUAGAGCGAUAGAUCCAAUCAAUAUGGUAAAAACCCCAUCUUUUUAUCCUUAAUGGCAACAAUACAAUAUGUGCCUCGCUACCCCUUCUGUCACUGGGUGAGGACACUGCAAGAUUGAACCCAUCACAAAGCAUCCCUCCCAUUGCAAGAAAAAUCAAUCUAGUUGUCCAAACCAAAUCAAUAGACCAAAGACAAAUACAAAGAUGUCUUAAUCAUGCAUAAAAGAGUUCAGAGAAGACUCAAAUAAUAUUCAUAGAUAAUCUGAUCAUAAAUCCACAAUUCAUUGAUCCCAACAAACGCACCGCAAAUGAAGAUUACAUCGAAUAGAUCGCCGAAAAAAUCGAGGAGAACAUUGUAUUGAAGAUCAAAGAGGGAGAAGAAGCCCCGUCCUGAUCUCCUUGCUGAUGGAAACCGAAUAGGUGAUAAACCUGGACUAGAGUCUUGUGUGGUUAGUCAGGUCGUGGCCGACACCCUCGCUAGGCUUCCGCUUGAAGGUUUCCGAGUACAUGUCGUGUAAACGGCGGUAAGUGGUGAGAGUGUGUGUGAAGAAGUACACCCUUGCAGGGUUAUAUAUGAUCUACUCGAAUAGCCGCGUCUGCGGAUAUGGAGUACUUGGAAUGAUUAUAUGGUUCAUAGAUAACUUGAAGAGGAUACUCUAAAAUGCACAAGAUAAGCGUUAGUGUUAUGGAUGGCCUUCUUGUAGGGAUACGGGAGCAGAUCCAUAGUGGUGUAUUGAUAUGGUGAAUAUGUGGACUCGUGUGUGCCACAUCAAAGAAGUUACUGGUAAUUGUAGUUCAGGAUAGCCACCGAGUCAAAUCUGGCUUGAUGCAGUUAAACUCCACCACCCCCUUGCUGAUACUGAUGCAUAAGUAGUUAGUUUUGAUGUAAGUCUUGCUGGGUACAUUUGUACUCAUGUUUGCCUAAUUUAUAUUUUUGCAGAGAGACUUCAAUCUCACUAGUAGUUCCAUGUGGAGCUUGGGAAUUCGAGAGAGAGGUCUGGCUCCUUUGGAGGGUCUUGUAGAUAGACAAGCUUUUUAACCUUCUUUCUUUUUAGAUGUCUGUAGUUAGACAUGUUUAUGCUUCCGCCUAUGCUUGGUGCUUGUAUGACUUAAAUGCUGGGUCAUGAGACCCAUGUUUGUAAUACCUGGCUCCUCGGAGCCUAUUGAAUAAAUAUUUUGAAUCAUAGUGUUUUGUUGUGAUGCCAUGUUGUAUUUACACAUAUCAAGCAUAUUGUGUGUAUGUUAUUGAAAUUCUUGGUAUGUGUGGGAUCCGACACCUAGUUGUUUAUUCUUGGUAGCCUUCCUUAUGGGGAAAUGUCUCAUAGUUCUUCCACUGAGCCAUGGUAGUUCGCUAAUGCUCCGGAACACUUAGGUUGGCUGGCAUGUAUCCUUCUUUAUUCCUGUGUCUGUCUCUUCGGGGAAAUGUCAUGCGUUGUUCCUUUAAGUCCUUGUAGCUUGCUACAACUUGGGUUCAUACGUUGAUGAUCGGCGCGUUCAUUGUUGGGUUACGUAUGCCUGUCCCUGUAAGUUUGUGCUACCUUUGGUUUACGACUAGUCAUGUCAGCCUGGGUUCUCUGUCAUAUGGAUGCUAGCGAUACAAUCAUAUACCUGAGCCAAAAGGUGCAAAUGGUCCCAGCUAAGGUAAGGCUGCAGCCGUGGGGAUACCGUGCGUGAGGCUGCAAAGUGAUAUGAUGUGUUACAUGCUAGAUCAGUGUGACUUAGGAUCGGGGUCCUCACACUAAACCCUUCUGUCAUCGGUGUUCAGAAUAACACUUCAUGGUCUCGCAGCCCUUAUCCUCUCUGUGGCUUUCUCACCAUGAUCAUGGGUACCUGCAGGGAUGAAGAACGCUGACGAGACAACCGACAUCUAUGAAACUAUUUUAUUUCAUGCAUACGGUACAAUAAAUCAAAGCCCUUCCAUUGAUUUAUACAAUAAAUAUAGUGGGUUGCAAGGCCCUUGCCAUAACCCAUACCUUACUAGAGUACUCAUACAUGGAGAUCAGAUCACACGAAGAGCACAUCAUCGAACACAUCAUGAAGGAAGAUUGAUUGGUAAUAUGUCUUACAAUGGAUGUCGUGUGUGAUACAUGUUUACAAGUAUGAUCCAGUGGAAGAAGAAUAUGGUGGUGAUGGUGGAUACGGAGAUGGAAAUGGUAGCAACAAGGGUUGAUGAAGAUCACUCUAUUCUGGUUCUACUCACACUCGUCCAUAUUUAGCCCAUUUUGUGUAGAAACGCAAUAAAGAGAGGAUAUGUUGAAUCCUAUGCAUUCAUUAGUCAAUAGUGGAAAUGUCAGAAUGAAUAUCUAAGUUUAAAGAAAGGGUACAUGACUGUAACAAUAUCACUCAUCACACAUUCAUCUUUCCUGUUCUCGGGGGAUUCCUACCACAAUAGGUGGCCCAUAUGCACCCGAGGAGGCAAUUGUUCGGGAGAGCAAGCCCCCGAGCACCGACUGCCCACCUAGCCAUGCCCAGUAAUUGAUGACAUUAAGUCCAUCUUGAUGGGAUGGUGCCGAGGGGGACCUUGUUUCCACUCUUGUUGGCAAUAGUGUAUGGUAUCUACCGCUACAAGAUAAAAUAUAAAAAAUUAUUAUGCAAUGGAUGUAAUCUUAUCAACAAUAAGUGGAGCUGGUUGCUAGCAUUUUCAUAGAUAAUAUUAAAUAGUGCACUAUUCUUAGAUUCCUAUUGGAAGUGAUCAGACAAGUGAAUAUUUAAAAUCCCGUAGAACUUACUCCAUGGUAGAGAAAAUAAGACAUUUUCUCUUGCUUUGAUUGUGUGUUUUUUAAUACUUCCUUUGAUUUGUAAUCUAUCACCAAAAUGUUCAAGGGAAAAGAGCGUAAACGAACCUAGAUGAUGGUAGUGAAUUCGUGCAUGCACAAUGAUAAUAAACCAUUUUUUUAGAUAAGGAAACAAAUAAUAUCGCAUUAGUAUAUGCACUUGAUGAAUUAGCAAAACUGUGCGCUAUACCGGCAUAUAGUCACUUCCUUCUAGCUAUAGAUGAAACAAUGGGGAUAUAUCUUAGGGAUUUUCUUUUCAAAUAAUAUGGUACUAUACAUAUAUAUAUUACAAAAAGCGGUGCUAUAUCUUGAAGGUUCCCAAUUGUCAAAAAAUACANNNNNNNNNNNNNNNNNNNNNNNNNNNNNNNNNNNNNNNNNNNNNNNNNNNNNNNNNNNNNNNNNNNNNNNNNNNNNNNNNNNNNNNNNNNNNNNNNNNNNNNNNNNNNNNNNNNNNNNNNNNNNNNNNNNNNNNNNNNNNNNNNNNNNNNNNNNNNNNNNNNNNNNNNNNNNNNNNNNNNNNNNNNNNNNNNNNNNNNNNNNNNNNNNNNNNNNNNNNNNNNNNNNNNNNNNNNNNNNNNNNNNNNNNNNNNNNNNNNNNNNNNNNNNNNNNNNNNNNNNNNNNNNNNNNNNNNNNNNNNNNNNNNNNNNNNNNNNNNNNNNNCACACACACACACACACACACACAUAAAAGCUCAUACAGAACCAAGAAAACAGAGAGGAUACUCCAUUUCUUCAUAAGAGAUGAGAAACCACAAAACACAUAUGUGCUCACUUCUCAUUGCACUACUAGUCUUUGCAUCGAGUAUACUCUCUCUCUCUCUCUCUCUCUCUCUCUCUCUCUCUCUCUCUCUCCUUAGACUAUUUAUCUUUGUCUCUUUGGAUCUAUGAUUAUGUUCAUCCAAAUGAUUUUUCUACAUAACUUUUCUUUACAUCAUUUGCAUAUAUAUGUAGCUUGGAAGCCCACCAUGCAGCUUCAAUUUUGUUGGCACCCUCCAAAGAAGUUCAGCAUAUGCUUAGCCUUUUGGAGGGUAGAAAUAUGCAACAAGCUAUGCAUUGCCGAGAACUACGAGUAUGGUGUUUGUGGCAUGAUGGAGUACCCACUGCCGCGAUGCAUCUGCCACAAGCGUCAUUGUCAUGACACUUAACUAUGAUGAGUGAUGUAUUUAGCGUGUUUAUGUGAGAAUAAAGGGAUGGUGGUGUUUUUCAUCAUUAUGAAAUAUAAGUAUUUAAUAAAGUGAGCCCGAGUUCUUUCCAGCAUUGACCAAAAGACUUCUAACGAACAUGUUUGAAUGUAUGUGUAUUGCUUGAUGAAUUUCCACAAUUGCAAAGACAAAUAAUAUUAUAUACAUGUAAAUGUUUAAACAUAUAGUUAAAAUAGUCACAAAACACUAGUCAUCUAUAUUAAAUCUUACAUCAUGCCAGGCAUGAGCUGGUUCUCAGCAAAUCAAACCUUGAUUAAUUGCCCAUCCAGUUCUAUUAAAAAUGUUAUUUGGGUUGCAAAUAAUCACUAAGUAAUUGUCAUUAAGAAACCAAACUAAAUGGAAUUAUUAAAAUGCCCCUAACCUAUUUAAUACUGAACCGGCAACAUUUAAUUAGUCCAUUUCAAUCUCAAUAAAUGAUCACACUUUUCAAAAUAAAUUGGAAUUUGAUGUGCUAGCUCAACACAUUCCCUAGUAUUUUGUGACAAGUUCAUCAUUUACAACAAAAGUCAUUUGAUAUGUAAAAACAGUAGAGAAAAUGAAAGAAGCAAAAAAGGAAAUAAGGAAGGAUUGAAGGACCUAAUGUGCACAUAGGCCCUAGUGGCACAGUACCCAGCCCAGUCCGCUAAUGUUGUCGUCCCUUACCUCCUCUUCAUCUUUGUCGCGCUCGCGGCAACACGCCCGCUCGCGUCGCCGAUGUACACGCGUCGGCCAUCCUGCGGUUCCCCCAAUGGAUAAGAAUGUCGCCCACAUCCACCUAGGGAAACCGUAGCCACCUUCCCUUCCCCUCUCGCUCUCCCUUGCUCGUUCGCGAGAGGAGCCACGCCAUCGUCUCCAUGGACGUUGUCAACCUCGCGGCCACCAAGUUCACCGCCCGCUGAGGCUUCUCCAGGAGCACCGCCACCCUCCCUGUUGUCGCCUUUGAGCAGCCGCUCAUGCCGGACGCCCUUAAGCCGCCACAAUCACUGGUCUCCUUCGUCGGCCACCACCUCUUCCUCCUUGUCGAGCUGCAGCACCGCGACCUCCUCGGCCUCCCGUUGUUGCUCCUCGACACGGUUGUGAGCCGCUGCGCUGGAUGCGCUCCUCCCCUCCCAUCCAAAUUGCCUCUAGCCUUGGUCCCAAAUAGUGCCAUCCACCACAGCUGUUAGCUCCCCCCUGUCGAGCUCCGUAUGCCCUCGUGCCUCGACAUGAGUUCCCCAGGGUGUGGCCUCACGCCCUCACCUCGUGCGUGUGUCGCGAGCUCGUGCACGCCCUUCUGCCCCUCCUCGCAUAAGGGCCAUGCCCUGGCCUCGCCUGUGUGCCCCCACGGCCGCGACCAUCUGCGCUCGAUCACACCUCCGCCCGCGCCCGCCAGGGCCGCGUUUGCCCGCGCCGUGCUCCACACCUACCCCCUGCCCGCAGCCGCUUGCAACCUGCUACCACUACCUACCUGCCGGCACUCUUCUAUGCGCACAAGGGUGUGCGUUCAACCCCUUACCGGCUGGGCCAGUGAUCAGUGGGGCUCGGUAAUUAGCCUAAUUAAUUAUUCGCUAAUCCAAACCCUAAACACCCAUGCCCAGUGGCCCCACUAGCUAAGUAAACCUGAUUAGUAUUUUAAUUUAAGAAUUAGUCUAUGACACGUGGGCCAGAGUUAAACAUUUAGAUAAUUAAUAUGAAAUCACCAGGUCAUUGACGGAUCGGUCCUGGUAGGGACUUUGACCAGUCAACUCCUGACUUGGCAAACUGUGGACUGGGCCCCCUGUUAGUCUCACAGUACCACUGGAUGGGUACACUUUUUGGUACCCUUAGCCAUUUGAAUUUAAUAAUUUUGGAAUAAAUUCAGGAAAUCAAGUAAAUUUUGAAAAAUCAUAUAAAAUAAUAUGUAAGUCAUAUGAAAAUAAUUUAUAUAUGAAAUUUAAUCAGAACAAUAUAACAAAUCUGAAUAUAACAUGCACAUACUUGCAACACCCCUCUAACAUAAUGAACCUGGACAUUUUGUAUUAGGUUCAUCUGACCACAAAAUACAUGGAUUAUUACAACAUAUCAGCAGAUAAUUUCCCUCUUCUUUUAACAUGUUUAGGGAUGCAUUACAGCAUAUCAUCGUCACAUUUUUACAUGACAUGCAUUUGUGCUGCAUUUGAUUUCUUGUUAUUUAUUUCAUUCCCCCUUUGCUCUAUUCCUUUGGUAAACCCCGAGACUGCUGCUGUCCUGGAGUACAACCACGACAUCGAUGACCCUUCUUUCUUAGCAGAUCUUCCAGGCAAGCCAAACCCCGUUGAUCAUUCUGAUAUCGCCUUUCCCUUCUCCCGAUUGCUUGCAUUAGAGAAAUGUUACUAUUACUGCUUUAUCAGUAGAUCAUACUAUUGCAUAUCCUAUUUUUGUUAACUGCUGUUGUAAGCAUCCUGUUAUCCUAUAUGCUUAGUAUAGGUUUGCUAUUAUCCCAUUGAUACGUCACUACUAGGGAAAACCCUAGUAGUAGCGCUUGUUUUAUAGCUAGCAGUAGCGCUUGUACAAGUGCUACCACUAAGGCGCCACAGCUAACUUGUAGCAGUAGCGCUGGAAAGGGAGCGCUACUGCUAUACCUAGUUAGCAGUAGCGCUUUUGUUGGGGAAGCGCAACAGAUAGUAGUAAGUAGCAGUAGUGUUUCUUCUGAAAAGCGCUGCUGCUAACUUUUCCUGUAUUUUUAAAAAUACAGCUUAUUUUCGUUGUGGUUUUAUAUACAUUACUUUCAUCAUAUGAUUUAUGACCAUGGUUAGUUAUUAUAUAUAACAGUGGGUGAAAUGAACGUGGAGUAGAUUCUAGUGGAGGAAACAUGUGGUGCACAUCGAAAGUACUACUGAUCCAAACUAACAUGUGGUGCAUGUCGAAAGUACUACUAAUCAAAACUUAAUCUAGUUUGGAUCAGUAGUACUUUCGAUGUGCACCACAUGUUGCCUCCAUUUUAAUCUAUUUCAUGUUCAUUUCACCUACUGAUAUAUAUAAUAACGCAUCAUGCUCAUAUAACAACUUAGCAUCAUGCAUCAUCGAUCAUAAUAAUAAAUAAAUCAUCAUUGGUAUCGUAAUAAAAAGUCCUACUCAUCAUCAUCGAUCAUACAACUUCUACUCGAUACCAUAAUAACUAGUCAUACUCAUUAUCAUCAUAGUCAUCUAACCAAUCAUACUUAGUUGUUCUUAGCACAUGAUCAUGAGUAUUAGCUAGGACCUAAGUACACUUUCUAAGGUAAAAUAGCAUAAAACAAGAUAUGCCCUGACUCUCCAUUAUGGAGAAUGGAGAUUAUCUUGUCUCCAAUCCUUGCCCAUCGCACAAUGUUGCUUCCAAGUAGCUCCCUACGAUUGACCAUACAUUUUUUCCAAUCUUUGAUUGUCAUGUCUUCAUCCCUUUUAGAAAUCAGGUAUGGAUAGGAGUGAUUCGAAGGAUGACCUGGCUGUAAGUUCAAAACAUCAAGACGACCUUUCCGAAACAUCAGAUGAGGCACCCAAUUCUUCGGGAUUUUCUGUUGGAAAACAUAGUAAUGACUUCGUAGUUAGCAAUGCAGUUGAGUUUUAGAAGAAUUUAUGCAAAAUAUGCACGGAUGUCGUAAUAGUAAAAAAUCUUACCAUGAAAUCUCAAUGGAUGUUACCGUAGUUCAACACAGGCAGUAGUGGCACGUAUUGACCAUAAUGUGGAGGAGUUCUCCCGAUAAGUUAAUUCUGAGCCAUCGGUGUAGUAGGUUCCAUCUUCCGCACAUUCUUUGAAGAAUGAAAAGAAGCUAUCAAUGGAAAUAAGUUGUCAACUAUUUUGAAACAAACAAUAUAAAUUACUUAAUAACUAUGUAUGAGAAACUCACAUAGUAGUAGAAUUUGAAGCGUAUCAACAAGGACCCAAAUGUCCAAAUUGUCCUCGGCGAUGUCAAGAUCACCAAGAUCCAUGGUGACAAGAAUAGCCUCAUAAAAACCAUACAUCUUGCAAAGUGCUUUCCAAUUCGUGCAACCAAAAUGGGUUACGCUCUCAGAAUUGUACAUAUUUACGUCAAAAUCUAUACCAUGAUGUGUCCUUAGGUGAAUUUUGUUUGUUUCCAUACUUUCAUGAUCUUCAAAAUCCAGCCUCUCUAAGACAUAGCGUCUUGCAUGGCAUGGGAUAAGCUAGUCGAAUUGUAGAAGACGAAAAUUACACAUUGAAGUAGUAGAAGUCAUGCUUAAUUACGAAAAAAACUUGUCAUCGUUGCAUACUGUUUCAACGUCGAAGGUCUCCUGGAGCUUAAUGCUGAAGCGCCGACCUUCGUCCAGGUGAGGCCUGUCGCACAUACCCCGGUUGUCGUUGCACCAGUCUCACUCCCCUGGGAGACUUUCGUCAUCCGAUGACGACAUUUCCUAGGUUCAUAUAAUUCAAAGAUUAAACUUGUACAACUAAAUAUAUGUACUACAAAACUAAAUUAGAUCAUUAUUAUUCAUCACGGAUUGACUAUCGGUUUGCCGAGUCUUUUGUUGAAAACUCUUAGCUCACGUGGUGUAUAUAUUCGACCGUUGGUAAUGGUCACUCCUCCCUUCGUCCCCAAGUGCAUUACACCAAAAUGUCUAGCACACGGGAACGAAGGAGAAGCGACCCCCACGACAACAGUCGGGAUUCUUCGUCCUCUCAUAUAUGGUGGAGACUCUCCCUGACUGAUUCCUCUCUGACAUUUGCGACCGUCGGUGAUGGUCGUUAAUCCUCCUUCCCCAAGUGCAUAACAAUGGUCUAGCACAAGGAGAAGAAGGAGAAACAACCCCCACGACAACAGUCAGGAUUCUUCAUCCUCUCUCAUAUAUGGUGGAUACACUCCCUCAUUGAUUUUUCUACCGUCGGUGAUGGUCGUUAUUCCUCCUUCCCCUAGUGCAUAACAAAGGUCUGGCACAAGGAGAAGAAGGAAAAAUACCCCCACGACAACAGUCGGGAUUCUUCUUCUCUCAUAUAUGGUGCAGACUUUCUCCCGCACUCAUUUGUUGACUAUCAUGUAUGGAGCCUCGACAGACUUAAAGUCAACCCGAAAUGUCGUUUAAUUAUUUUUCUAGAAAAUCUAGUCCACUCGAUAUUUCCUACAUAUUCUAGCACAAGUCAUGCCAGAAUUCAGGAAAAAAUCUGGCAUGACCUUUGCUAAAAAAGGACAUAUCGAGCACCUGAAAUUCGCCUGAACAGAAAUUAAUCAACACUCUAGCAAAACACUCGGAGGUGUAACCUGCAAACAUGGCCGACCACUUGGGCAAGCACAUAUCCUAUUUGAGCAACACAAGAUAUUCAUGUUUAUAUCUACAUCACAUGAGCAUUCAUACUUGAUGGUCAUUGCAUUUCAAUGGUUGAAAAGAUAAAAAAACAUUUCAAAAUGUCUUAUAGGACUCAUAUUGACAUGGUGAUUUGGCUGGUCUCACCUCGUGGUCGGAGGGGGUCGGUAACGGGGACGACGGCGGGGAUGAUGGAGGGCCUCCUUGAUUUCUACAAAAACAAAAACCUUAUAAGCUAUCAACUAAUCAAAUGCAUAUGUCUUGCAUAAUGGGGUCCAAUUUGAGCAUUCAAAGUAGGACUACUUCUCCAAUUUGAGCAUUCAAUAAGCCAAAUCGUAAAAUAAAUAAGUAUUCAAAUUAGCAUGCAUUCAAUAAGCAAAACUAAAUCAUCUCUUGCAUCCAUACAUUGUCGAAUAUUAUCACUAAUACAUCUCGAAUAGUAUCAUACAUAUAACACUACAAAAAAAAGACACAUCCGUGACAUUUUGGGCCGAAUGAAUGUUUUUUUUCUGUCAUACGUAUGACACUUCUAUGACGAUAAUUGUGACAAAACCCGGUAUCAUCAUAGAUGUGGUGGGCUCCUACUUCUAUGACAAAAAAUCAUGACAGAAAAUGGGCUUUUCAUGCUGUGCGGGCCAGAGACGCAGCUGCAUGACAUUCUUUGGGACGUCCAUGACGGAAAAAACCGUGGUAGAAGCGAGGACGGGGAAAAUAUCGGGGUGUCCCCGGUUACGGUGGGUGGUCGGGGGCCGAGCGAUGCGCGUUUCUCUAGUAUGUACGCACGUGUGUGUGAGGCGUUGCACUCUAACUGAACCCGAGCGAGGGAUUCGCCUACUGAACCCGAGCGAUUGCACUGCAAGCUACGUGUUACUGAACCCGAGCGAUGAUCGAUGGUUGUUAACUGAACCCGAUCGAGUAAUUCCUUCGCUACUGCUGCUAACUGAAGCUGAUCGAUGCUACCUCUGGAUGAACAGUGAGUGUUGUUGGGGGGUUUGGAUGAACAGUUCCCGGUGGGGGGUUGGAUGAACAGGACCCCGUGGUGUUGCCGCUGGAUGAACAGGACCCCGAUCGAUCGGCCGGUUGGGCGUGGAUGAGCAGGACCCCGUGGAGGGCUGGAUGAACAGGAACCCGUGGAGGGAAGGUUGAAUAGGACCCCGUGGAGGGCUGGUUGAACAGUAGCCGGUGGAGGGCUGGAUGAACAGGACCCAUGGAGGUAAGGUUGAACAGGACACCGUGGAGGGCUGGUUGAACAGUAGCCGUUGGAGGGCUGGAUGAAGAGUAGCCCGUGGAGGGGUGGUUGAACAGGACCCCGUGGACAGGGCUGGUUGAACAGUAGCCGGUGGAGGAGCGGUGAAGGAUGGAUGAACAGGAGUCCAUGGAUGAACAGUCACAGGAGGAGGCAGGAGGAGGUCGACGGUGGAUGAACAGUAGCCCAUGGAGGCUGGAGGAGGUCGACGGUGGAGAUGAACAGUAUCCCAUGGAGUCCCGUUUUGCGGUACGCCACACCCCUCCCGAUGAACAGGACCCCCAUUUCGACCGUAUCGCUCCAACACAAGUCUGUUUUCUCUGUUUUGCGGUACACCACACCCCUCCCGGUGAAGAGGACCCCAUUUCGACCAUAGGAGGUCCAAUAGAAGUCUGUUUCCUCCGUUUUGCAAUAUGCCAGACCCCUCCCGAUGAACAAGAUCCCGUUUCGACCGUGGCCGGUCGAACACAAGGCCGUUUCCUCCAUUCUGCGGUACGCCAUGCCUCAUUUCCAUCGGUUGUUCCAUCUAAGCCGGUUGGCUCCCGAUGAACAGCACGCGUUCCGUUGCCUCCCGAUGAACACGACGCAUUUUGUUGCCUCCCCAUGAACACAAUGACGACGCAGUUUCUUCAUUUCGACCCAGCCAUGUACACGAGCCCUGACCGUACGUAUGCGCGAGUAGGCGUUCGAGACCCCGCCCAGACAUACGUACGUGGCCAUAUUUUAUUUCUUGCACCCUGGCCACUGUACGUACGUGUACAUGUUACGUGCGCGCCUCUACUACGACACGUGCCCUUCCUUGCACGGUCACGGUUCAUCAUUGCAGCCUAAAGACAAACGAUCGACCAAUAUGUACGUAUGCGUUGGCGACCAGAAUGACAAUGCUACAUACGCUUCGACCAGGUGGGUCCCGACUGUCAGGCACUUCCUAGCGUGCGAAGAUGUAGCUAGUGGGUCCCAGCAGCUAAGGGGCGAAUCGUUUUUUUGCCCGUAAUAUGGGCGCACUUCCUUACAUGCGAAGAUGUAGCUGGUGGGUCCCAGCAGUCAGGGGGAAAGGUUUUUUUCGCCAAAUACAGUGGCCCGUCUGGUGGGUCCCUACUGUCAGGUGGAAGAAUAAUUAUUUUUCAUGUAAUAAGGAGGCACUUCCUUGCUGCGGCCGUGGACCCAGCUGUCAGCCUCUUCAGGUACAAUACUGUUUCGAUGGAAGUCAUUCGUUGACCACAUUGACCACACUGCGCCGAGAGCACCAAGGCGGUGGAUGACGGCGAGGCCUAGGAAGGGGACGACAAGGAGCCGGGGAAGGUGCGACAGUGGAUGCCCACACGGAGAGGAGUAUGUGGGUUCACUGGUUCGGCUGCGGUGUGAGGAUGUCGUCGCCGCAGGUCCUGGCCAGCGUUGGGAGUGGUAGGGGGCGGUGAGGCCUCCGUGGCAGCACAGCCGGCCACGGGAGGUAGGAGUAGGCGGCACGAUCGGCGCUGCUUUGGGCGGCUGGAGCAAGAAGACCAGAGGUUGAAGAAUCACAAUGGCCGUUUGAUGGACAUCGUACGAUCACUGGAGAUAGAAUCGUUUAUAUUGACUAAGUUGACAAAGCCCUUGGUAUGCGUCAACUUAGUACGCCCACAGGCCAGCAACCGAAAUGGUGCACCCCAGAUGUCAGGGGGAGGAAUCAUUUUUUGGGCGGCUGAAGCUAGAAUAUCCGAGAUUGAAGAAGAAGCACGACAUCCGUUGGAUGGACAUCCAACGCACACUGCUGCUAGAACCGUGUGUUGACUAUAAGUUGAUAAAGCCUUGCAUACGCAUGAACUUAGUAGGCCCACAAGUGUGUGGUAGAGAACUUAUAGCCCAUUUGCGAUUUGUAAGAAUGUACAACCCAUUUUUGAAUUCUAAUGGAAUUUACUACAGCCCAUUUACAGUUUGUUAAAGUACAUCCCAUUUUCUAGCUAGGACAACGACUAAUAAUUUCAACCAACCGUUCAAAACAGAAUUCAAUGAAAUUUCCCACAUUUUGAUAUGAUCCAAAAUAUUUUUGUCCUGAAAUUUCUAGUCAGAUUAAAUUCAAUUUCAAUAUAAAUUUGUAUUACGUAAAAAUCCAACGAAACAUUGUGCGUGCAAUAAUUAAUGAAAUUAAAAUUUUCAAAAUCAAAAAGUAAUAUUUUAUAAAGUAAUUACAUGUUUGGUGCAUUUUUUAUAGUUACUGCCCAGUUUUUAUAAUUACAUCCCAUUUAUUAUUUCUUAAAUCCCAUUUUCUUGUUAAGCCUAAUGCAUCCCUCCUAGGAAAGAUUUGCAGCCCAGCGGGGCGGAGAAUAACAAGUUGACCUGGAUUGUUUGCAACUGUCGGCCCAAUUGCAUUGCUGAUGUUGAAAAAAAAGGUUUGUGUAGUACAAUGCAACCUUACAUGGCUACUCAUCCCACAUUUAGCGAUGAUGAAAAGGCCCAAAAAAGGCUUCUGUACAACUUUUUGAAGUCACUGAGCUCAAUUAAUAACUUAAGAGAAAAGUUAGAGUAUAGUGGAACCUAAUUAAAAGCUGUCACGAGCGAAGAAAUAAUUCAACGGGUCCCACUUGUGUGUGUGUGUGUGUGUGAGAGAGAGAGAGAGAGAGAGACCCAUUGGUCGAUGCUCAUAAAUACAUUUUUCAGCCAUAUGCAUUGAUGAUGCUCAGUAAAAACUUAUAUAGUUGACACAAUCAUAUAGAACAUCAUAGUACACUGAACUUGCAUACAAAUAUUUCACGCAGGCGGCACAAUCAGGGUGGAAGCAAUGGAUCGCUACGGGUAGGGCUAUGUUGAAACCAACGAACUCGUACAUAACGGUUCAUCGUCUUUAUCAAUGACGGGGAAAUAUCUUGAAGGUUGUGCAAAGAAAAUAGACAGACAACACAACAUAUAAGUUCUGCUAGAACAUUAAGUUGACGUACAUCCCUUUCUAAAAAAAGUUUAGGUAAAAAAUAGAACAUGUCAUGUGAAAAGAUACAGUUGUUACCUCAAAUUAGAUCACAUCCAGGCAGCCAGCCCUGCCUCUUCUUCCAAAGAAGCAGUAGCCUCCGCCGCGCGAUGGAGUAGGCCAUGUGCCAUCCAUCGUUUUGAGCAACAUGGGGAAAGUCUGACGUUGACUCCUGUAAUGGAUGUCGUCGACGGAACCGGGCAUCAGCAGCGGCGGCAGGACUUUGAUUGAUGGAUUGACCACUUCUUCAACAUGCACGAACACUCGAUACAGGUACAUUCCUAAUGUGGUCCGCGGCUGUAACACCGCGGAUGUAACUUUCCAUAUUUGUAACUCCAACUCUUGCCAUUUUCGGCUAUGUGCUAUGGUUUUCCCUCCGUGGUUGGGUUUUGUUCUCGUUUUUCAUUUUGUUCAUGUCAUGCAUCUCAUAUCAUGUCAUCAUGUGCAUCUCAUUUGCAUACGUGUUCGUCUCAUGCAUCUGAGCAUUUUCCCCAUUGUCCGUUUUGCAUUCCGACGCUCCCACAUGCACCGGCGCACCCCUCGUGUCUCUUUGUCGUGAGAGGGUGUUAAACGUUCUCAGAAUGGACCGAGGCUUGCCAAGUGGCCUUGGUACACCACCGGUAGACCACCCGUCAAGUUUCGAGUCAUUUGGAGUUCGUUUGAUACUCCAACGGUUAACCGGGUAACCGCAUAGACCUCUUUUGAGUUGCAGCCCAACACCCCUCCAAAACAGCCCAAUAACCCAUCUAAGUCACUUCCAUGCUCUCCAUCGUCGGAUCACGAUCGUGUGGGCGAAAACUGCACCUCAUUUGGAGUCUCCUAGCUCCCUCUACCUAUAAAUAUGUGCACUCCCCCGAAUUUCCGGAUCCCCAAACCCUAGCCCGCUCCUCCNNNNNNNNNNNNNNNNNNNNNNNNNNNNNNNNNNNNNNNNNNNNNNNNNNNNNNNNNNNNNNNNNNNNNNNNNNNNNNNNNNNNNNNNNNNNNNNNNNNNNNNNNNNNNNNNNNNNNNNNNNNNNNNNNNNNNNNNNNNNNNNNNNNNNNNNNNNNNNNNNNNNNNNNNNNNNNNNNNNNNNNNNNNNNNNNNNNNNNNNNNNNNNNNNNNNNNNNNNNNNNNNNNNNNNNNNNNNNNNNNNNNNNNNNNNNNNNNNNNNNNNNNNNNNNNNNNNNNNNNNNNNNNNNNNNNNNNNNNNNNNNNNNNNNNNNNNNNNNNNNNNNNNNNNNNNNNNNNNNNNNNNNNNNNNNNNNNNNNNNNNNNNNNNNNNNNNNNNNNNNNNNNNNNNNNNNNNNNNNNNNNNNNNNNNNNNNNNNNNCGCCCCGUCGCCCGCCCCACGCAGGUCCGCCGCCGAGCGCCGCCGCCUCUCCCUCAACCCCGCCGGCGACCGCGCCCCGGCCGGCCCCAUCUUCCCCCCGGUCUCCUCCCUGCUCCUCUCCGGCGAGGAACUCCGGCCGGCGAACCUCGAAGCACGCGCCGAUCCGGAUCCAGAUCCAGAAACUCGGUUGACUUUCUUCUCCCCGAAAAUCCCCUAAGUCAUUUCCUGUCAUAAAUUGUUGCAUUUUCAUUGCAUCACAUCUUUGCACCCGUGGCUCCGUUUUGGGCGUGUAGCAUACCGAUUUGUUCGCCCGAUGAGUACAUCAUUUUCAUUUGAGCUCAUCUAGAUGCCCGAAAUUCUGUUGGAAGAGGGCUAUGUGAUGUUAGUUUCUGUUUCUUAACAGAACAUGCACUUUUGUCAUUUUUGCCAUGAUUAAUGUGUGCAUCUUAUGAAUUUGAGCCCUACAUAUGUUUUGAUCUAUGCCAUGCCAGCUUUACAGGGGUGUAUGCCAUGUAUUUUUGUGAUCAAUGUGGUGACUAGCACAAGCAUGCAAACAAGGGAUCAUAAUGUUGCUGAUUUCAGGGACUUGGUAUUUUCACUAAGUCAUGCCCUGCUGUUAUUUUUAUGCCAUGUGUUCAUGUUGUUAUAGAGAGAUCUAUACCCAUUUUGAGCAUGAUCAGUAAGGGUGUUUUGAACAUAUGUAUGUGCUCUAUCCAUCCAUGCCUUUGUUGGCAAUUAUGGAGUAGUCUAGCAUGUCAUUUUCGUGCUCUACUUUUCCUACAAAAUAUUUCCUGGCAGAUUGUUUAUAUGAUAUUCAAUUUUCACAAGGUUGUUGUAGUUGAUCCGUGUAUGCUAUGAUGUUGUUCUUGCCAAGUAUAGCUUCUAUGCCAUGUCUUCUUGAUGGGUGUAUGCUUAGUUUAUCAUGAGAUGCUCCGUAGUGAGUGCAUCGAGCUCACGAACAUGCCUACUUGUUAUCUGUUUUUGCCAUGUCCAGUUUUUCUGCUAAGUCUGAGAUCUGUAAUGAAACUUGCUAUGUUUACAUGGGUGCCAUCAUUUCUUAUGGUCCUUUUUGGCUUAUGGUUAGUAAGGGACUUUUGAUCUAUGCUUUGAGUAGAAUCAUGUCAUGCCUUGUUUUGCUAUUAUAAGUUCCUGUAGCAGGUUGUUUGCUUGCUCUAAACAUGCCUUCCUGAUGUUAAUUUCUGGCAUACUAGUAUUUUCACUAAGUCUGUGAACCUGAUAUUUUUUUGCACUUUCACCAUGCUUGUUUGAACCUGUUAUGAUGUGAUUUAGCCGUAGCUCAGUGUUCCUCUUUUGUUAAGCAUCUCCUGUAGAUCACUGCCAUAUGCUCUGUUUGUAUGUUGGGGUGCUGUAGCAUAUUUUCUUGUUGCAUGCUAAGUAGCAUCGUGCUGUUAAUCGCAGAUUUGUGCCAUUAUUGUCUUGCUUGCCAUUUGCAAACCGUGCAUCCGAUUCCGGUGAUCUUUAUAUCGAUUUCAACCGAAAUCAUCUCAUCUUUCCAGCGGCAUACUUGGUUUGCCAAGUUGAUGCCUUGUUCAUCAUUUUCCCUUCCGGAGCACACAUAUGCAUUGCAUAUCACAUCUCGCAUAUCAUGUCAUGUAUUGCAUCAUAUUGCUUGUGCAUUGCUCCAUGUUUGAUUGUGGUUCCAUUGCUUGUGUUCUUGCUUUGGGUAGAGCCGGGAGACGAGUACAUGAAGGAGGAACCUGUUGAGAACGCUUACGAGGAUCAAGCCUUCGACAACCCUGAGAACUUUGCAGGCAAGAUGACCAUACCCUCGAAAUCACUUCUAUCUUUGCUUGCUAGAUGCUCGCUCUUUUGCUAUGCCUAUGCUACGUUACCUACCUCUUGCUAUAUCAUGCCACCCAUAUUGCCAUGUCAAACCUUUAACCAUCCUUUCCUAGCAAACCGUUGUUUGGCUAUGUCACCGCUUUUGCUCAGCCCCUCUUAUAGCGUUGCUAGUUGCAGGUGAAGAUGAAGUUUGUUCCUUGUUGGAACAUGGAUACUUUGGGAUAUCACAAUAUCUCCUGUUUAAUUAAUGCACCUUAUAUACUUGGUAAAGGGUGGAAGGCUCGGCCUUAUGCCUGGUGUCUUGUUCCACUCUUGCCGCCCUAGUUUCCGUCAUACCGGUGUUAUGUUCCUUGAUUUUGCGUUCCUUACGCGGUUGGGUGAUUUAUGGGACCCAGUGACAGUUCACUUUGAAUAAAACUCCUCCAGCAAGGCCCAACCUUGGUUUUACCAUUUGCCACCUAAGCCUUUUUCCCUUGGGUUUUCGCGAGCCCGAGGGUCAUCUUUAUUUAACCCCCCGGGCCAAUGCUCCUCUGAGUGUUGGUCCAAACUAGAGCGCUUUGCAGUGCCCCCUCAAGGAAACUUGGGGUCUGGUUUUAGUUGUACGGACUGCUCAUCCGGUGUGCCCUGAGAACGAGAUAUGUGCAGCUCCUAUCGGGAUUUGUCGGCACAUUCGGGAGGCUUUGCUGGUCUAGUUUUACCAUUGUCGAAAUGUCAUGCGAACCGGGAUUCCGAGACUGAUCGGGUCUUCCCGGGAGAAGGUUUAUCCUUCGUUGACCGUGAGAGCUUAUGAUGGGCUAAGUUGGGACACCCCUGCAGGGUAUUAUCUUUCGAAAGCCGUGCCCGCGGUUAUGAGGCAGAUGGGAAUUUGUUAAUGUCCGGUUGUAGAUAACUUGACACUUGACUUCAUUAAAAUGCAUCAACCGCGUAUGUAACCGUGAUGGUCUCUUCUCGGCGGAGUCCGGGAAGUGAACACGGUGUUGGAGUUAUGUUUGAUGCAGGUUGCUCUAGGAUCACUUCUUGAUCGCUUCUAGAUUCACGACCGUGCCUUGCUUCUCUUCUCGCUCUCUUUUGCGAAUGUAGCCACCAUAUAUGCUAGUCGCUUGCUGCAGCUCCACCUCACAACUCUGACCUACCUAUAAGCUUAAAUAGUCUUGAUCUCGCGGGUGUGAGAUUGCUGAGUCCCCAUGGCUCACAGAUUCUACCAAAACAGAUGCAGGUACCGAUGAUACCAGCGCAAGUGGCGCAAUCGAGCUCAAGUGGGAGUUUGACGAGGACCGUGGUCGUUACUAUGUUUCAUUUCCAGACGAUCAGUAGUGGAGCCCAGUUGGGACGAUCGGGGAUCUGUGUGGCAUUUGGGGUAGUCUUCUUUUAUUUUGGUUCCGUAGUCGGACCUUGAGUGUAAUCUGAAUGAUGGAUGUUUAUUUAUGUAUUGUGUGAAGUGGCGACUAUAAGCCAACUAUGUAUCUCUUUCCCUUAUGUAUUACAUGGGUUGUGUGAAGAUUACCUCACUUGCGACAUUGCUUUCAAUGCGGUUAUGCCUCUAAGUCGUGCUUCGACACGUGGGAGAUAUAGCCGCAUCGAGGGCGUUACAAGUUGGUAAUCAGAGCCAUCCCCGACUUAGGAGCCCCCUGCUUGAUUGUUUGCUGGUGUUGUUGAGUCUAGAACAAAAAUGUUUUGAGUCUUAGGAUUAUAUAUAUCGGAGAGUAGGAUUCUUUUUACUCCUCAGUCCCUUCGUCGCUCUGGUGAGGUCUCCUAAUGUAGAAGUUUUGACUCUCCUCUCCUCAAAUUUCACUAAAAAUAUUUUUAGGAUCACGCGGGUAUCUUGGAAUCGUUCCGAUGGUUUUGUGACGAGAACAUUGUUCUUGGUGCCUCCUGACAUUUAGGGGUUGUGGCAGUGUCCCGGGGAGUUGAGCUCCGAGGUGUUGUCGUCACAAUUUUAUCGUUGCAAUUCUGGAAUACCUGAGUUUUGCCGACAUCGAAAAUCUCUUUUGUACAGUUGUUGGUGAGAUAACCCCGAUAACCCAGUACUGAGGUGAGUACGGGAGUAUUGCCAUGACUCGUAUAACUGAUGCUUUUCGAAGGUUGAGGUACACGAUCUCCGAAGGUUUCUUGGUUACGUGUUGACGGAUGGAUACAGCUGGAUGUAGGGAUUGUUAGUUUGGGUGAGAUAUAUUGCUUCCCCUGUAUCCCCAACACCUGAUUGCAUAACCGGAAAGUUUCGGGAGUUUAUUGGUGGGAUUCAAGUAGCUCUAGCACUUCUUCCCGCAGAUAUUUGGUUUGUGAUUGGGUAAUCCUUACCACUUAUUUGUUCCAUUCAUACCUUGUUUUUAUUUUCAUUCAUCAAUCUCUUAUCAAGUGGCUUCUCACCUUAAUGGACAUGAUGUUUACUUUGGAAUUCAUUCGUUCAUCCUUGUUCGAAUGUUUAUUGUGAAGUCUAUAUGUUGCAAUUUCUAUCCAUUGAUUCAACUUGUCUAUCUGUCUAUCAAGAUGCUAACCGAUGUCACCCUCUUCAGGAUGGCUCCGCCAACGCGCCAGAAUCCGGAACGCAGUGAUGGGAGUCAGGCGAACCCUCCACCUCCACCUCCGCCUCCGGAGGCAUGGCAAACUUUGAUGGCAACCACUAACGCCAAAGUUCAGUUGUUGAUUCAGCUGAUGCAAGAGCGUAACCAAGGCCAAGGCAACCAAGGGAAUCAAGGUCAAGCACAGUUCAACCAUCAGCCUCAGUUUCCUACCCUCAACCAGUUCCUUGCAAAUCAGCCAAAGUCUUUCAGCUACUGUGCCGAGGCCACAGACGCAGACGAUUGGCUCGUGGAUAUCAACAAGCAUUUCGAAUGCAGUAAUGUCAGACCUGAGGACUACGUCAAGUUCACGUCUUUUCAGCUCAAGGAUCAAGUAGCUGAUUGGUUCCAGCAAUACAAGGAUUCCAAAGGAGGUCGAGUGAUUACUUGGACUGACUUUUGUCGGGACUUUAAAGCUCACCACAUUCCUACCAGUGUUGUUGAGAGCAAGCGUGAGGAGUUCCGCAAUCUCAAGCAAGGCAACAUGUCAGUGUACGAAUACAACAAGCAGUUUCAGAAACUUGCUCGCUUCGCUAAACAAGACGUUCCUGAUGAAAAGAGUAUGAUCUAUCAAUUCAGAGGUGGCCUUAGAGAGGAUCUGCAGUUAGCUCUCGUUCUUGUUGAGCUUACUCAGUUUGAUCAAUUCUACAAUAUGGCACUCAAGCAAGAAGGUGCUCAGCUCAAGUGUGAGGCUUCAAAGAAGAGAAUCAGGGAUGCAGUUCAGUCUUCUUCUUCCUCUCAAGGCGCAGCUAAGCAGCAAAAGUUCUACCUUCCUCCUCCUCCGUUCCGUCAGCCUUAUCAAUAGAAGAACUCAGGUGGUCAUGGAUCUUCCCACCCACCCAACCCAAGCUACCAAAACAAGUCUCAGCCUCAAGCUCCAAGGUCAAAUGCUCCUUAUCAUCGUCCGCUCUCAGAGGUGACUUGCAACAAGUGCCAGCAGAAAGGUCACUAUGCGAACAAAUGCUUCAACCAAAGGCGCCUUCCUCCUCCUCCUCCUGUGAGGUCUUCAAGCAAUGCAGUGGUCAAGCAUAAUCCCAAGUCUGCAAAGGUGAACAUGAUGAAUGCAGCGCAAGCAGAGGAUUCUUCUGACGUGAUAAUGGGUAAUCUUCCAGUUAAUGAUAUUCCUGCAAAAGUUUUAUUUGAUACUGGUGCAUCGCAUUGUUUCAUAUCAAGACCUUUUGCAUCUAAGCAUGAGUUGGGUUAUCAAGAAUUGCCUAGUUCUUUAUCAGUUGUGUUCCCGGGUAAGCAAAUGACAACUAAUAAUUGCGUCCUGGAUGUUUCUAUCAAGAUGGGCGACUACAAAUUUCUGUCUAAACCAAUUGUCCUUGGUGACUCGGACAUCGAUCUAAUUCUCGGGAUGGACUGGCUUUCUAAGCACAAGGCUCAACUUGAUUGUGCUGCCAGGGAAAUUCAAUUAACACACUCUUCUAAGGAUGUUAUCAUCUAUGCCGCUCGUGAUGAAACCAUUCGGUUGUUUUCUCUCAAUGAGAAGGGCGAGCUAGACGCAAUCUCGCAAAUUCCAGUCGUUUGUGAGUACCAAGAUGUCUUUCUAGAAGAGCUUCCGGGUAUGCCUCCACACCGGCCAGUCGAAUUCGUUAUCGAUCUUGAGCCUGGCACUGAACCCGUUUGCAAGCGUCCAUACAAGCUUGGACCUGAAGAACUGAAGGAAUUGAAGAAACAGCUCAAUGAACAAGAGCGUCUGGGUUUGAUCAGACCGAGUUCAUCUCCAUGGGGAUGUGGAGUUCUUUUUGUCUAGAAGAAGGAUGGCACGGACCGACUUUGCGUCGAUUACCGUCCAUUGAACAAGAAGACAAUCAAGAACAAGUAUCCACUUCCCAACAUCAAUGAGCUAUUCGAGCAACUCAAAGGUGCUAAAGUUUACUCCAAGCUAGACCUCCAUAUGGGUUAUCAUCAGAUUCGCAUUCGUGAACAAGAUAUCCCCAAGACAACAUUCAGAACAAGCUAUGGUUCUUAUGAAUAUACCGUCAUGUCUUUCGGCCUUGUCAAUGCUCCUCCAACAUUCUUUCGAAUGAUGAACUUUAUCUUCAACCCCUACACCAAUGAUUUCGUCUUGGUGUAUCUCGAUGAUAUUUUGGUCUUCUCCAAGAAUAAGCAGGAUCAUGCCAAACAUUUGCGAUUGGUGCUCGACAAGCUCAGAGAGCAUCAAUUCUAUGCGAAGUUUUCCAAAUGUCAGUUCUGGCUUGAUGAAGUUCUUUAUCUUGGUCACAUCAUCUCCGCCAAGGGCAUUGCUGUUAAUCCCGAGAAGGUGUCUUCAAUUGUGAAUUGGGAACCUCCUCAGAAUGUCAAGCAGCUCCGCAGUUUUCUUGGUCUUGCAAGCUAUUGCCGAAGAUUCGUCGAGAACUUCUCCAAGAUUGCAAAGCCUCUUUCCAACCUCCUCCAGAAGCAUGUCAAGUAUGUCUGGACGCCUGAGUGUGACGUUGCUUUCAACACCCUCAAAGAGAAGCUAGUUACAGCUCCUAUCUUGACUCCUCCUGAUGAAUCCAAACCAUUCGAGGUAUUCUGUGAUGCUUCUCUUCAAGGUCUCGGUGCUGUCUUCAUGCAAGAGAAGAAAGUUGUGGCCUAUACCUCUCAUCAGUUGAAGCCCAACGAAAAGAACUACCGCACUCACAAUCUUGAGUUGGCGGCAGUUGUCCAUGCAUUAAUAACAUGGAGACAUCUCUUGUUGGGAAGGAAAGUGGACAUUUUCACCGAUCACAAGAGUCUCAAGUAUAUCUUCACUCAACCUAACCUCAACCUCAGGCAAACUCGAUGGGUCGAAAUGAUUCAAGAGUACAAUCCAAGUAUUGAAUAUACUCCUGGCAAGGCGAAUGUGAUUGUAGAUGCCUUGAGCAGAAAGGAUUAUUGCAACAGCUUAAUUCUCAAGCCCUUCCAACCGGAUCUUUGUGAAGCUUUCCGCAAGCUGAAUCUUCAAGUUGUUCCUCAAGGCUUUCUUGCCAACCUCAUAGUCUCUCCUACUUUGGAAGAUCAAAUUCGUGAGGCACAACUCCUGGAUACCAUGGUGAAGAAGGUGAAACGUGGUAUUGACAAGGGCAUUUCCAAAUACAAGUGCUAUCACUUGGAUGACAAAGAUACUCUUUUCUUCGAGGAUCGAAUUGUGGUUCCCAAAGGCGAUCUGAGAAAAGUCAUCAUGAAUGAGGCACACAAUUCUCUUCUAUCCAUUCAUCCUGGUAGUACGAAGAUGUACCAUGACCUCAAGCAGUCGUAUUGGUGGACUCGAAUGAAGCGAGAAAUUGCUCAAUUCGUGAAUGAAUGUGAUGUCUGCAGAAGGGUGAAAGCAGAACACCAAAGACCAGCUGGUCUCCUUCAACCUCUUGCUAUUCCAGAAUGGAAGUUUGAUCAUAUCGAGAUGGACUUCGUGACUGGAUUUCCUAAAUCCAAGCGUGGAAAUGAUGCUAUCUUCGUUGUCAUUGACAAGCUUACUAAAGUGGCUCAUUUUCUUCCUAUCAAAGAAUCUAUCACAACAGCUCAGUUGGCAGAGCUAUACACCUCCAGAAUUGUCUCCUUGCACGGUAUUCCACAAUUGAUCUCUUCAGACCGCGGAAGCAUCUUCACUUCUAAGUUCUGGGACUCCUUUCAGAAGGCCAUGGGCACCAACAUUCGUUUCAGCACAGCUUUCCAUCCUCAAACUAGUGGCCAAGUGGAGCGAGUCAAUCAAAUCCUUGAAGAUAUGCUCAGGGCUUGUGUCAUUUCCUUUGGCAUGAAGUGGGAAGAUUUUCUUCCAUAUGCCGAGUUCUCCUACAACAACAGCUUCCAAGCGAGUUCGGGCAAGGCCCCAUUCGAAAUCCUCUAUGGCAGAAAGUGCCAUACUCCUCUCAAUUGGUCCGAGACAGGUGAACGCCAACUUCUUGGCAACGACUUGAUCACAGAAGCCGAAGAAAUGUGCAAAGUCAUUCGUGAGAAUCUCAAAGCCGCGCAAUUACGCCAGAAGGGCUAUUAUGAUGACAAGCACCGUGAUGUGGCUUUUGAAAUCGAAGACCAUGUCUACCUCCGCGUCUCUCCAAUGAAAGGCACUCGUCGCUUCGGUAUCAAAGGGAAGCUUGCCCCUAGAUACGUGGGUCCUUUCAAGAUCAUUGUCAAAAGAGGCGAUCUCGCCUAUCAACUUGAGCUUCUGUCCAAUUUUGCAAACAUGCACGAUGUGUUUCACGUGUCACAGCUUCACAAGUGCUUCACGACUCCUGAGCGCACUAUCAACAUCGAAGAGAUUGACCUCCAAGAAGAUCUCUCUUAUCAUGAGCACCCCGUUGCUAUUCUUGAAGAAACCGAGCGCAAGACUCGCAACAAGUCAAUCAAAUUCCUGAAAGUGAAGUGGUCACACCAUUCCGAUCGAGAAGCCACCUGGGAGAGCGAGGAUCACCUCUGUUCCGAAUAUCCGGAGUUCUUUCAGUGCUAGAUCUCGGGAUGAGAUCCUCUUGUAGUGGUGGAGUGUUGUAACACCCCGAAUGUAACUUUCCAUAUUUGUAACUCCAACUCUUGCCAUUUUCGGCUAUGUGCUAUGGUUUUCCCUCCGUGGUUGGGUUUUGUUCUCGUUUUUCAUUUUGUUCAUGUCAUGCAUCUCAUAUCAUGUCAUCAUGUGCAUCUCAUUUGCAUACGUGUUCGUCUCAUGCAUCUGAGCAUUUUCCCCGUUGUCCGUUUUGCAUUCCGACGCUCCCACAUGCACCGGCGCACCCCUCGUGUCUCUUUGUCGUGAGAGGGUGUUAAACGUUCUCGGAAUGGACCGAGGCUUGCCAAGUGGCCUUGGUACACCACUGGUAGACCACCUGUCAAGUUUUGAGUCAUUUGGAGUUGGUUUGAUACUCCAACGGUUAACCGGGUAACCGCAUAGACCUCUUUUGAGUUGCAGACCAACACCCCUCCAAAACAGCCCAAUAACCCAUCUAAGUCACUUCCAUGCUCUCCGUCGUCGGAUCAUGAUCGUGUGGGCGAAAACCGCACCUUAUUUGGAGUCUCCUAGCUCCCUCUACCUAUAAAUAUGUGCACUCCCCCGAAUUUCCGGAUCCCCAAACCCUAGCCCGCUCCUCCGCCGCCGCCGGACACGUCCGGGCGAGCCGGACACGUCCGCUGCCGCGCCCCGACGAAUCAGGCGCCGCCACGUGCCCGGGCCGGCCCCAGUUCACCGCCGACCCCGCGGGCCCGCGAGGCCCGUGCGNNNNNNNNNNNNNNNNNNNNNNNNNNNNNNNNNNNNNNNNNNNNNNNNNNNNNNNNNNNNNNNNNNNNNNNNNNNNNNNNNNNNNNNNNNNNNNNNNNNNNNNNNNNNNNNNNNNNNNNNNNNNNNNNNNNNNNNNNNNNNNNNNNNNNNNNNNNNNNNNNNNNNNNNNNNNNNNNNNNNNNNNNNNNNNNNNNNNNNNNNNNNNNNNNNNNNNNNNNNNNNNNNNNNNNNNNNNNNNNNNNNNNNNNNNNNNNNNNNNNNNNNNNNNNNNNNNNNNNNNNNNNNNNNNNNNNNNNNNNNNNNNNNNNNNNNNNNNNNNNNNNNNNNNNNNNNNNNNNNNNNNNNNNNNNNNNNNNNNNNNNNNNNNNNNNNNNNNNNNNNNNNNNNNNNNNNNNNNNNNNNNNNNNNNNNNNNNNNNNNNNNNNNNNNNNNNNNNNNNNGCCUCUCCCUCAACCCCGCCGGCGACCGCGCCCGGGCCGGCCCCAUCUUCCCCCCGGUCUCCUCCCUGCACCUCUUCGGCGAGGAACUCCGGCCGGCGAACCUCGAAGCACGCGCCGAUCCGAAUCCAGAUCCAAAAACUCGGUUGACUUUCUUCUCCCCGAAAAUCCCCUAAGUCAUUUCCUGUCAUAAAUUGUUGCAUUUUCAUUGCAUCACAUCUUUGCACCCGUGGCCCCGUUUUGGGCGUGUAGCAUACCGAUUUUUUCGUCUCGAUGAUUACAUCAUUUCAUCUCAUUGCACCAUUGUCAUUUGAGCUCAUAUUGAUGCCCGAAAUGCUGUUGGAAGAGGGCUAUGUGAUGUUAGUUUCUGUUUCUUAACAGAACAUGCACUUUUGUCAUUUUUGCCAUGAUUAAUGUGUGCAUCUUAUGAAUUUGAGCCCUACAUAUGUUUUGAUCUAUGCCAUGCCAGCUUUACAGGGGUGUAUUCCAUGUAUUUUUGUGAUCAAUGUGGUGACUAGCACAAGCAUGCAAACUAGGGAUCAUAAUGUUGCUGAUUUCAGGGACUUGGUAUUUUCACUAAGUCAUGCCCUGCUGUUAUUUUUAUGCCAUGUGUUCAUGUUGUUACAGAGAGAUCUAUGCCCAUUUUGAGCAUGAUCAGUAAGGGUGUUUUGAACAUAUGGAUGUGCUCUAUCCAUCCAUGCCUUUGUUGGCAAUUAUGGAGUAGUCAAGCAUGUCAUUUUCGUGCUCUACUUUUGCUAUAAAAUGUUUCCUGGCAGAUUGUUUACAUGAUAUUCAAUUUUCACAAGGUUGUUGUAGUUGAUCCGUGUAUGCUAUGAUGUUGUUCUUGCCAUGUAUAGCUUCUAUGCCAUGUCUUCUUGAUGGGUGUAUGCUUAGUUUAUCAUGAGAUGCUCCAUAGUGAGUGCAUUAAGCUCACGAACAUGCCUACUUGUUAUCUGUUUUUGCCAUGUCCAGUUUUUCUGCCAAGUCUGAGAUCUGUAAUGAAACUUGCUAUGUUUACAUGGGGCCAUCAUUUCUUAUGGUCCUUUUUGGCUUAUGGUCAGUAAGGGACUUUUGAUCUAUGCUUUGAGUAGAAUCAUGUCAUGCCUUGUUUUGCUAUUAUAAGUUCCUGUAGCAGGUUGUUUGCUUGCUCUAAACAUGCCUUCCUGAUGUUAAUUUCUGGCAUACUAGUAUUUUCACAAAGUCUGUGAACCUGAUAUUUUUUUUGCACUUUCACCAUGCUUGUUUGAACCUGUUAUGAUGUGAUUUAGCCGUAGCUCAGUGUUCCUCUUUUGUUAAGCAUCUCCUGUAGAUCACUGCCAUAUGCUCUGUUUGUAUGUUGGGGUGCUGUAGCAUAUUUUCUUGUUGCAUGCUAAGUAGCAUCGUGCUGUUAAUCGCAGAUUUGUGCCAUUAUUGUCUUGCUUGCCAUUUGCAAACCGUGCAUCCGAUUCCGGUGAUCUUUAUAUCGAUUUCAACCGAAAUCAUCUCAUCUUUCCAGCGGCAUACUUGGUUUGCCAAGUUGAUGCCUUGUUCAUCAUUUUCCCUUCCGGAGCACACAUAUGCAUUGCGUAUCACAUCUCGCAUAUCAUGUCAUGUAUUGCAUCAUAUUGCUUGUGCAUUGCUCCAUGUUUGAUUGUGGUUCCAUUGCUUGUGUUCUUGCUUUGGGUAGAGCCGGGAGACGAGUACAUGAACGAGGAACCUGUUGAGAACGCUUACGAGGAUCAAGCCUUCGACAACCCUGAGAACUUUGCAGGCAAGAUGACCAUACCCUCGAAAUCACUUCUAUCUUUGCUUGCUAGAUGCUCGCUCUUUUGCUAUGCCUAUGCUACGUUACCUACCUCUUGCUAUAUCAUGCCACGCAUAUUGCCAUGUCAAACCUCUAACGAUCCUUUCCUAGCAAACCAUUGUUUGGCUAUGUCACCGCUUUUGCUCAGCCCCUCUUAUAGCGUUGCUAGUUGCAGGUGAAGAUGAAGUUUGUUCCUUGUUGGAACAUGGAUACUUUGGGAUAUCACAAUAUCUCCUGUUUAAUUAAUGCACCUUAUAUACUUGGUAAAGGGUGGAAGGCUCGGCCUUAUGCCUGGUGUCUUAUUCCACUCUUGCCGCCCUAGUUUCCAUCAUACCGGUGUUAUGUUCCUUGAUUUUGCGUUCCUUACGCGGUUGGGUGAUUUAUGGGACCCCCGUGAUAGUUCGCUUUGAAUAAAACUCCUCCAGCAAGGCCCAACCUUGGUUUUACCAUUUGCCACCUAAGCCUUUUUCCCUUGGGUUUUCGCGAGCCCGAGGGUCAUCUUUAUUUAACCCCCCGGGCCAAUGCUCCUCUGAGUGUUGGUCCAAACUAGAGCGCUUUGCAGCGCCCCCUCUAGGAAACUUGGGGUCUGGUUUUAGUUGUACGGACUGCUCAUCCGGUGUGCCCUGAGAACGAGAUAUGUGCAGCUCCUAUCGGGAUUUGUAGGCACAUUCGGGAGGCUUUGCUGGUCUAGUUUUACCAUUGUCGAAAUGUCAUGCGAACCGGGAAUCCGAGACUGAUCGGGUCUUCCCAGGAGAAGGUUUAUCCUUCGUUGACCGUGAGAGCUUAUGAUGGGCUAAGUUGGGACACCCCUGUAGGGUAUUAUCUUUCGAAAGCCGUGCCCGCAGUUAUGAGGCAGAUGGGAAUUUGUUAAUGUCCGGUUGUAGAUAACUUGACACUUGACUUCAUUAAAAUGCAUCAACCGUGUAUAUAACCGUGAUGGUCUCUUCUCGGCGGAGUCCGGGAAGUGAACACGGUGUUCGAGUUAUGUUUGACGCAGGUUGCUCUAGGAUCACUUCUUGAUCGCUUCUAGAUUCACGACCGUGCCUUGCUUCUCUUCUCGCUCUCUUUUGUGAAUGUAGCCACCAUAUAUUCUAGUCGCUUGCUGCAGCUCCACCUCACAACUCUGACCUACCUAUAAGCUUAAAUAGUCUUGAUCUCGCGGGUGUGAGAUUGCUGAGUCCCCGUGGCUCACAGAUUCUACCAAAACAGAUGCAGGUACCGAUGAUACCAGCGCAAGUGGUGCAAUCGAGCUCAAGUGGGAGUUUGACGAGGACCGUGGUUGUUACUAUGUUUCAUUUCCAGACGAUCAGUAGUGGAGCCCAGUUGGGACGAUCGGGGAUCUGUGUGGCAUUUGGGGUAGUCUUCUUUUAUUUUGGUUCCGUAGUCGGACCUUGAGUGUAAUCUGAAUGAUGGAUGUUUAUUUAUGUAUUGUGUGAAGUGGCGACUAUAAGCCAACUAUGUAUCUCUUUCCCUUAUGUAUUACAUGGGUUGUGUGAAUAUUACCUCACUUGCGACAUUGCUUUCAAUGCGGUUAUGCCUCUAAGUCGUGCUUCGACACGUGGGAGAUAUAGCCGCAUCGAGGGUGUUACAGUGGCGGCCUUGGUGGCGACGAAUAGUACAACCCCGGUUCCUGCACCGGUAUCUCAACACCAAUUACCUUCGGUAUGGUGGACAGCUUCUUCAUCCAUGCCAUAACCGUCAGAGCCGAGCUGUCUGCAGGAACAAACAAACUUACGAGCUCACCUCCAAGGUUGUUGAUAAGCUCAUUCAUGGACUCGUUGUGCCAAGCACGUCGAGGCAUGCCGUGGAAGGUAAGCUUUGUUAAAAACUCAAGCUCAGAGGGCACCGAGCCCCAUCCUGGGUGCCACCGAUCAUAGCUCACCAGCACGCCAUCGUAGAACAAACUCCGGGAAGAUUGGAAUGCAUGACUGCAGUCGAAAGUUGUCCGGAACCUGAUGAAGAAAUCAGCCGGUGGCGGAUAGACUUCGAUAAGCAAGUCACUUAUUUGGAUGCUAUGCGCAAUGCAGAGAGCUUUGACAAGGUCGUCCGGUGAGACGGGAGGCCGAUCGCCAUUGAUGGUUACCAUCAGCACUUUGUCGGCAAACUGGUCGUCAAGCACCGCCAUUCCACUGUUGAGCGACAGCACGCAGCGCCCGAAGGCAGGAUGGACCUCAGGAUCUCCGGCUCAGAGAUCUGCGUUGACCGGCGACAUGAUAGUGCGCUUGAGUACAGGGAGUACAGGAGGGAGAUUUCAGGGAACUGGAGUAGGAACCAAUAUUCCAGAGGUGAGGGAGGGGCGGUUGAUUGGGGAUGAAAAGGUAGAAUGAAUUUCGAACACGCGCCAAUAUGCUCUCGGCGCACAAGCUCACGAAUACACCGGUGGCGCCCACAUGUCGGCCUAAGAGUCCCUAUUCUUCCUAUUUUUGAGAGCCCGACCUUUUUUUAGGAUCUUUUGAGAGCCCGACCUGUGAUUCGUAAUUGACCUAUUUGGCAUUGCGUUACUACUUGGCCCAUAUUCAAUGACACCUCACUGGCCCAAACAAGUGUACAUCAUUGAAAAGACACUGAGCUCAAAUUAUAACUUGAAAAAAAGGAGAUAUACUCUCAACGCUGGAGAAUGGUGAUGCCCUCAUUUAGUCCACCCUCAGUUCGAGACAAUAAACAGUUCAAAACAACGAUAUAUACAACAUUCAAACACUGACUAGUGACUACUACUGACAUAAACAGCAAAACAUGAUAGUUCAUAAGAAGUCUUGCUACACCUCCAAAAAACACCCAUCUGCAGCGGUCAGACUCUCGUGACCCCGACGAGAAUGACAUUCUAAAUAGAGGCAACUAUUACAUAGUAAGAGUGACAUAGAUGAGGAUAACCAACUGACAAGCAAUAUGCAUAACAAAAGAGUGAAGUACCCAUCCAGAACAAGCAGCAAAGACAAUAAGUCAUUCAAAGAGAGAUGAUCCAACACCAUCAUAAUUUGCAGCCCCGGUUCAGCCACCAGUGAUCCAGAGACACCAGUACUCCACCCUUUCGAUGCAACAGCCUAAUUACCUAUCAACCUGAAGGCUUGAACCACAUCACUGCCUAUCGGACUCAACACAUUCAAGGAUCAAAGUUAAUCCAGAUGCCUUUGUCAGUCUCACCUUCUUUUGGCUACAGGCUGUAUCGUUGACAAUCAAGGGAGUUUGCUCCCGAACUCCUAGGGCUCGCCGUGUAGACAGAGUUUUCCAUUGGAAACAGAGCCUCUCUGCCAUCAAGGUCCUUGCCAACGGUGAUCUCCUGGUUAAUCGGAUAAUUGAGUUGGAGAAACAGAGAGUAUGAACCAAGGCUGUUUACCCGCCUCCAACUCAAAAAUCUUGCAGGCCCCAACAAGCUGGUAUCCUGCUCAUAGACGUAAUAACCACUAUCCGGAUACUCACGUAUUUCACGGUGCUUGCAUACAGUGGGGUUUUUGCAAUAUAGCUUUUUCGGCUCAUGUGUCUGAAUGAUCAUCAGUCUUUUGCCGUCCUCUGAUCGAGCGAGGAACCAGUUCUGCUUCCCUGUUUUUGGCAAAGGUGGUGUGAUUACAAAGGGUUGUAACUGUAGGGACACUGCAUCACAUCAAAAAGGACAGGCAUUGUUAAUGUAAGAUCAGCAUUGUUCAGAGUAUGAGUACGAUAAUGCAAGAAACAACGUUGAUAAGUCCCUGUUGGAACUGGGAGGAAAAUACAGGGAAAUGCAUACUGGGUUCGAAAAUAUAGAAGUGCCAUGCAUGGUUAUACUCAUGUUAUCUCACGAUCGUUUCUUCACAGGAAACUACCAUGUCAUGCAUGUUAUGUAAUCAUGUUCUGUCCUCACAAACAAAUUCUUCAAGGAAACUAACAGACCAUGCAUUGUUAUAUACUCAUGUUAUGUGGGCAAAAAUUUUGUGAGCAUAUUAUUCUAGCUAUUGAUUGCUGAAGGGAGAACAUAGGUAUGUACACAUGGUAAGCAUUACAGGAUUUCACUACUUCAAAAUAUAGAGUUCUCCAUAUGCACAUUUACUUCCCUAACAUAUGGUUAGAUGGAAUCAACAGUGUGAUGCAUGUUUCUACAUCAUGAAAAUGAGGAAACUAACAUGGCCAUUGAUACACACUCAUAUUUAGUAGUAUAUAGAUUACUAUAAAAUAAGGAGAAUAUCAAUAUCUUCCUAACAGUUUGAUUAUUCAGGGGUACAAAUUGGCUGUAAUGAAAGGGUCACAAUCACAUGAAUUAACUCAUUCCAAAUAUAGCUGAUUUACGGCGUAUCUAAUACAUUGCCAUAGUUCUACUCAAAUUCUGCUCAAAUAGGGAUAUGUCAAUCAUCACAAAAAGUUCAAACGGUGUCAAGGCGUCAUCAUUAACAUCAUACGAAAACAACUCACACGCGCCGUCCCAGCAAUAUAGGUGCCAUCUACUUUGUCGACCGCGUAAUGAUGCCAUUGUGUUCAAUAGCAUCACAGAAGUGUGUAUCAGCUUUGACAAUGAUCCACUGCGAGCUGAGCUGUCUCCAGCUAAAGAAUGCACCAGCGGAAAGAGAGGCGAGUCCCUUGUCGAACAAGGCAAUUAGCUUGAAGUCUGUGUAAUCCGCAUGUCGUGUGGGCACUUGGCAGAUUACAAUCUUCUGCAAAACAAGGUGCGUCGAACUGACGACGUAAUCGAGAUGACUUGGACCGCGAAGGUAAAACUCUAUAUUAACCAACGGAGGAACACUACUAGGAAAAGGGCUAUAGAUGAUAUGGACACUAAUGGCGCACCAGACAAGUGGUGCGCCACUACCAUAUACUAAUGGCGCACCAUGUGUUGGUGCGCCAUUAGUGUCCAAAUACUAAUGGCGCACCACAUCCACGGUGCGCCAUUAGUAACAAAUUUUUUUUAUUUUAUUUUUUCAAAACUAGUAAUGGCGCACCAGGGGAUAGUGUGCCAUUACUAGUUAAACUAGUAAUGGCGCACCACAUCCACAGUGUGCCACUAGUAUUUUUUGUUCAUUUUUUUAUUUUUUUUCAAAACUAGUAAUGGCGCACCAGGGGAUAGUGCGCCAUUACCAGUUAAAGCUAGUAAUGGCGCACCACAUCCACGGUGCGCCACUAGUAAAUUUUUUCAAUUUUUAUAUAUUUUUUUCAAAAUUAGUAAUGGCGCACCGUGGGAGUGGUGCGCCAUUACUAAUUGAACUAGUAAUGGCGCACCACUCCCACGGUGCGCCAUUACUAACUUGGCCCAAAAAAUCCACCAAAUGCACCCCCCUAACCGCCUUUUCAGUUUUAGAAAAAAUAAAAGAAAAUGAUGGAAAUGUCAAAAAAUAAAAGAAAAUAAGUUUCCCAUGUGAUAUGUAGUCUAGUUGUUCGCAAAAUUUACAAAUAUGAAUUUCGACUUUAUUUGCAAAAUCUCUCUGGAAUUUGUAAAAUGGGCAUAACUUUUGCAUACGAACUCGGAUUAAAAAGUUUUUUAUAUGAAAAAUCAUCUACUUGAACCCCGUUAAACAUUUUCAAAAUCCUCGAAAACCUAACAAAAAAAGUUACAGGGCUUUCAAGAUCUAGAGGCAAAAAAAUUCAAAAAAUUACAAACUUACUAGUGGCGCACCGUUUGUUAGGUGCGCCACUAGUAACAGAAAAAAAUGGUUUUGAAUUUUUUUUGGAUUUUUUUUAAAAAAUGAUACGUAAUAUGACCGGGAAGUUUGAAAUAUUUUUCAAAAUUUCAUCAUAGUCAUGAACAUGGACAAAGUCCUAGACAUGAACAAGGUAUAAUAGGAUUGAUAUGAUAGAUAUAUCAACAAGUGCCUGUUAAGUGAGGUGGUGCUGGGGUUGGAUAGAACUGCGAAGUUAAGCGUGCUCGGGCUGGAGUAGUGUGAAGAUGGGUGACCUUCCAAGAAGUUUGACCACUUAGUGGGAUUUGACUUGAGAUUAAACAUAUUGACCCGAGAUUAAGCCAUAGUGACCCUAGAUUAAGAAAAAAACGAAAAAAAUGAAAAAAAUAUCUGAAAUUUUUUUUGAGAAAAAAAUUGUUACUAACUAAUGGCGCACCGUGCGCUAUGCUAAUGGCGCACUGCCUGGUGUGCCAUUAGUAGGCAAAACUGGUGCACCACUAGUAGGCCUUUUCCUAGUAGUGGAAGGAUAGUCUCAUGGGAGGUCUGGAAGUUCACGAGCACCAACUUUUCCCCGUCUUCUCCGACGGCAGCCGUCUAGUGGGAGUUCAUGCUGAACCAGUACAUAGAGGCAAGAAGUUUUGGGCGACGGUGAUCGGAUCGAAGUUGAGGGAAAUGAUGUACGGUGACCCACUACAUACCUGCAAAGAAUUUUCGGCUAAUGGAGGUCGGAUUGAAGUCGAGGGGCAUCAUGUACGCCUCCGCAGCAUGGUGAGAAAAUCUCGCAAGACCACAUAGCAGCAAGCAGGGUGUCUUGAAAAGCUUAGCACUACUAGGGAAAACCCUAGUAGUAGCGCGGGUUUUGAGGCUAGCAGCAGCGCGGGUGGCCGCGCUACUAAUAAGGCGCUACAUCUAACUUAUAGUAGUAGCGCGGUCCUCACCCGCGCUACUACUGUUGACGAUAUCAGCAGCGCUUUUGCGGAACGCGCUACUAUUAGUUAGCUGUAGCGAUUUCCUUGUCCCUCGCUACUGCUAUAUCUUUCAUCAUUUUCCCAUUAUACCCCUUUCCCUUUCGGUUUCAAUAAACUGCAAUUUUCAGAUACUAGGUACUACUAGAUAUCAAAUUCAUAAACCAUUAUAAGUACUAGGUAGUACUCCCUCCGUUCCAAAUUACUCGUCGUGGUUUUAGUUCAAACCAUGAUGAGUAAUUUGAAACGAAGGGAGUACUAGAUAACAAUUUCAUGCAUAGUCAACAUGCAUCCUCAAGCAGUACAAGGUCAUAUCGACGACGAUCAUCAUAUGUAGUUCUAGAUGAUAUCAACGAUGAUCAUCAUAUGUAGUUCUAGAUGAUAUCGACGACGAUCAUCAUAUGUAGUUUUAGAUGAUAUAGACACACACACACACAUAUGUAGUUCUAGAUGAUAUCAAAGACAAUCAUCAUCCUCAAGCCUGGGCGGUUGGUGUUCUUGAUAGUAAUUAGGAUGGCCUGUCCAACACGAAGAUUCUUGCCAUCGAGGAAUUUCUUCCACCCAACCGAGUUUAAGUGUAUGCGACCGUCCGUGUCCACUCGGUAAGUACAGGUUGUGACAGAGCCCCUUGCGGUAAGGCGUAGUCCAUCUGAGCCUUCUUCAUCAGGCUCGAUACCAUAACUCACAGAUAGGCUCUUUGCCAAUUUUUGAAUAAGAAAAACAUAUCAAUUAAUAAAUAGCCUCACACAUACUCUUGCAAAUAAGUAUAUAUGGAUUAUCUACACUAUUAAUAGUUCCUUAGAUUCUACACUAAUAAGCAUGUGACCGAACUCUACACUAAAACAUAUCAUCGACUAGAUUCCACACAACAUACCAUAUCAUUGGACUCUACACUAAGUAUUUCAUCGGAUAAUUUGGAUUUGUAAGUAUAACAUACCAUAUCAUGUUGAUCAACCAUGGUACUUGUCAGGCGGGUCACGAAUGGCACCCCGCAAAGUCAGCACGUGGUGGAAUUAUGUGCCACAUGUUGGACACCUCCUCCUCGCUCAACCUCAUUCUUUGAGCUACGAUGGCUUCAUGAAGUGGGUCCUCAUCAUCUUCAUCGAGUGGGUCCUCAUUAUCUUCAUCAUCUUCAUCAUCUUCAUAAUCUUCGUCAUCUUCAUCAUCUUCCACCAGGUUGAUAUAAAUGACAGCCAGCUUGGGUCUUUCUGCCCUGAAGGAGAAGCUGAUCAACUCACCACCAGUAAGACGCAUGCGGGCGAGGAAACGGGCCCAUCCAUCUCCUCCAAUCAGCGACAUAUUGCGUUCUUUCUCGACCUCCAUAGUGUACGACCCCCAGGAGCCUCAAAUGUCACAGUGUCUCCUAUCAGCUUGUUGAAUUUCAACCUCACAUUGCAUGGGACGAUCUGUGUAAAAUAAGCAAAAUGACAAAAUGCAGUAAUGCCAACACUAAAAAUAAAAUAGUUGUUACAUUUCAUAUAAUUUCUUACCACCGCAUGACGAAAACUCGGCUGGAAAUAGAUGUCGAACAACUUGCUAGUUGCAAGGCUGCUGGCGCACCUUGACUUGCACAGCCGACAUGGUGGUGGUAGUGGUGGCGCCAUUUUCCUAAAGCAAUAUGAGCAAAGGAUUAACGAUCUUCACAGGAAAGAAAAACAAUAGCAUGUGCUAUUUUUGGUACUUCUUCAGUUAUAUUUUCAUAGUGGAACCCGAUCCCAAAAAGUAAACAACAAGCUCUCAAUUUGAUGAAGAGAUUCUUCUGCAAGAAGCAAUUUGAUGGAUAAUUAUAAUCCUAAGAUUUAGUAACAUACAAGAUGACAAGGUAUCACCUACGAAAGCAUUUCAGUGGCACCUAUUGCCAAAAAAACUAUUUGGCCCCUACCAAAGGUAUAAUCCUAAGAUCUGUAAUAAGUUAUCUACCAAAUCAAGGUACCACCUACCAAGACACAUUUCAUUUAAUUUGUCCCCUAUUGCCUAAGAUAACUGAUUAAAAAAACAAGUGGCAAAUUUAAUUGGGAUUAACUUAGCACUUGCAAACUAAAUACUUGUAUCAAACCAAUAUCUAGCAGAUCACGGUACCACCUACCAAAGCAUUUCAACUAAACUGGCACCUACAUUUUGCAAAAAUAACUUAUUACAGAAAAACAAAAGCAUCUACUUAUCCAUAUGAAAUUCGUGAGCCCUCGCUGCAUCUAGGUAGGGUAGCCCUCGAGGGGUGCUGUCGAGGAGGGGGGAUGGCAUGGUGACCUCGGUCGGGGGUACUAACGAGCGGAAGGCUAGUGACUUUCCUACAAGAGGGGGCGACGACAGCGGCCGGCAAGGGGAUCGAGGGCGGUCGGCCAAACGUGCCCGGCCAGAGCUCGCGGGCAGCAACAGAGUGGGCGGCGAGAGGGUGGAGGAGCAGCGGAGGGGCGACAAGAGGGGGGAGUAGCAUUACCUGCGACGGCGGUGGCGGAGGAGAAACCCUAACCGCAGCUGCCGGCGUCGGGCGGAGGGGGACGAUUGAGAGAUGAGCAUGCCAGGGGGGCGAGCCGUGUGUUUUGUUUUGCUUUAGCAGUAUCGCGGGUAUGGGGAGCGCGCUACUGCUAAGACCUAUACCAGCAGCACUUUGUCAAGAAAAACGCUACUACUAAGUCUAAGCAUGUAAAAACAUCAAAAAUAUACAUUGGUCAUCAUUGAUCUUUUUGUGUAGAAUCUAAAUAGUCAACAUGAAUCCUCACUGUACCUGUAUAGGUACAUGUGAGGAUUCAUAAUGCAGCCACAAAUCCUACACAUAUAGUUCAAUGAAGAACAAGUGCUCGAGAUAGUUUGAGAAGUAACAUAUUUAAGGUGGUAGACAUCUUGUUCGCUUAGCAGUAUGGGACUAAACUAAAUUAGUCACCAGGAGUGAUACUUAGCAGCAACGAGUUUUGGGGAAAACGCUGCUACUAAGUACUUUAGCAGUAGCGCAUCCAAAAGAAGGGCGCUACUACUAUAUCUAGCUUGGAGGCAACGCCGUGGCAAUUGUAGUAGUAGUGCUUUUUUCACCUAGAGUGCUACUGCUACUGAGCUGUUAGUAGCACGGUUUCCCGAAGCCCACUACUGCUAAUUAGCAGUAGCGUCUAUUUUUAAACCACGCUGCUGCUAAGAUUCUGUGUAUAAGGUUUUCCCUAGUAGUGUAGGCCUCACUUCGACGAUGGCCGUGUGCAUGCCCCUCGAGCAUGCAGCCAGCCGCAUGGCGCUCAACAUAUCCAUACACGAACAAAAAGGUCGAGGAUGUCACUAGGGAGAUUUCUCCAAUCGCGGCUCAUAUGGAUGCUACGCAGUUCACGUUCGGCCAUGGUGGAGUUUGGAAGGUGGGGUUUUGGGGGCCUUCAUUUACGGGGGAGAAGGCUCUCGAUGCUGGAGCGGCUAGCAAGGGAAUAAUGGUACUGGGGGAGGCGAGCGAGGCGAGGGUACGCGGGGGCAUAGUGAGAUGAUGAAGAGUUGAUACUUCUCCAACGUAUCUAUAAUUUUUUAUUGUUCCUUGCUAUUAUAUUACCCGUUUGGAUGUUUAUGGUAUUUAAUUUACACUUUUUAUAUCAUUUUUGGGACUAACCUACUAACCGGAGGCCCAUCCCGAAUUGUUGUUUUUUUCCUAUUUCAGUGUUUCGAAGAAAAGGAAUAUCAAAUGGAGUCCAAACGAAAUGAAACCUUCGGGAGCGAUCUUUUUAGAACAAACGCAAUCCAGGAGACUUGGAGUGGACGUCAAGCAGCAAACGAAGCAGCCGCGAGGGUGCCCGGCACGCCCUAAGGGGGUGGGCACGCCCCCACCCUCGUGGGCCCCUCGUGGCUCAACCGACCCACUUCUUCCACCUAUAUAUAUCCACGUACCCCCAAAACAUCCAGGGGCACGAAAAACUAUUUCCACCGCCGUAACCUUCUGUAUUCGCGAGAUCCCAUCUUGGAGCCUUCACCGACGCUCCGCCGGAGGGGGAAUCGACCAUAGAGGGCCUCUACAUCAUCUCCAAGGCCUCUCCGAUGAGUUGUGAGUAGUUUACCAUAGACCUUCAGGUCAAUAGUUAUUAGUUAGAUGGCUUCUUCUCUCUCUUUGAAUCUCAAUACAAAGUUCUCCUUGAUCUUCUUGGAGAUCUAUUUGAUGUAACUCUUUUUGCAGUGUGUUUGUCAAGAUCCGAUGAAUUGUGGGUUUAUGAUCAAGAUUAUCUGUGAGAAAUAAUUGAAUCUCCUCUGAAUUCUUUUAUGUGUGAUUGGUUAUCUUUGCAAGUCUCUUCGAAUUAUCGGUUUAGUUUGGCCUACUAGAUUGAUCUUUCUUGCAAUGGGAGAAGUGCUUAGCUUUGGGUUCAAUCUUGCGGUGUCCUUUCCCAGUGACAGCAGGGGCAGCAAGGCACGUAUUGUAUUGUUGCCAUCAAGGAGUAAAAGAUGGGUUUUAUAUCAUAUUGCAUGAGUUCAUCCCUCUACAUCAUGUCAUCUUUCUUAAUGCGUUACUCUGUUCUUAUGAACUUAAUACUCUAGAUGCAGGCAGGAGUCGGUCGAUGUGUGGAGUAAUAGUAGUAGAUGCAGAAUCAUUUUGAUCUACUUGUCACGGAUGUGAUGCCUAUAUACAUGAUCAUGCCUAGAUAUUCUCAUAACUAUGCACUUUUCUAUCAAUUGCUCGACAGUAAUUUGUUCACCCACCGUAAUACUUAUGCUAUCUUGAGAGAAGCCACUGGUGAAACCUAUGGCCACCGGUCUAUCUUUUAUCAUAUAAGUUUCCGAUCUAAUUUUAUUUGCAUCUUUUACGUUCCAAUCUAUAUCAUCAAAAUACCAAAAAUAUUAUCUUAACUUAUUAUCACUAUCAGAUCUCACUUUCGCAAGUUACCAUGAAGGGAUUGACAACCCCUUUAUCGCGUUGGUGGAGAGGUUCUUGUUUUUUUGUGUAGGUACGAGGGACUUUUGAGGAGCCUCCUACUGGAUUGAUACCUUGGUUCUCAAACACUGAGGGAAAUACUUACUCUACUUUGUUGCAUCACCCUUUCCUCUUCAAGGGAAAACCAAUGCAGUGCUCAAGAGGUAGCAAGAAGGAUUUCUGGCGCCGUUGCCGGGGAGGUCUUCGCUCAAGUCAAGACAUACCAAGUACCCAUCGCAAACUUAUCUCCCUCGCAUUACUAUUUGCCAUUUGCUCUCGUUUUCCUCUCCCCCACUGCACCCUUGCCGUUUUAUUCGCCCUCUCUCUCCCAUUCUCCUCUCUUUCCCGCUUGCCUCUUGUGUGCCUUUUUGCCCUUAUGGCUUUGCCUAAGAACGAUGAUCUUCAUCUUAGAAGGUUGGAAGAGAUUGAAUUAAAUAUUAGAAGCUUUAUGACUUUACAAUUUGAGCAUAACAAUUUCUUUAGAAAAGAGCUUAAAGAACAAAAAAAAGCUUUAUGGAAUACAUGAAUAAAGAGCUUGAUGAUAUGUGUAAUGAGUUUUAUGGUUUGAAUUCUCAGAUUGCUCGUCUUGAAAAAUCUAUAGCCCAAAUUUCUGAUAAGCAAGCCACCUUAGUUAAUAAGAUGGCUGCCAAACCAGAAGGCUUAGGGGAAAUAAUGAUGAAGAUCUAACAGUUAGUGAUGUGUCCCCUAUUAAAUCUUUGUUUUGCAAUAUGAAUCUUGAUAAUGAUGGGACUGGAGAUGAGUCAACUUUAUUUAAAAGGAGUCCCAAUGAUUCGGAGUUUUUAGAUCUUGAUGCUAAAUUUGGUAAAAGUGGGAUUGGAGAGGUCAAAACUUUACGUAGCAAUGAACCAACUUUAUGGAUUUCAUGGAAUUUAAUUAUGAUAAGUGUUCUUUAAUAUAUUGUAUUUCCUUGUUGCAAUCCGUGUUGAAUUCUCCUCAUGCUUAUAGUAAAAAUAAAGCUUUUACCAAACAUAUUGUUGAUGCCUUGAUGCAAUCUUCUGAGGAAAAACUUGAACCGGAAGUUUCUAUACCUAGAAAACUUUAUGAUGAGUGGGAACCUACUAUAAAAAUUAAAAUUAAAGAUCAUGAAUGCUAAGCUUUGUGUGAUUUGGGUGCUAGUCUUUCCACGAUUCCGAAAACUUUAUGUGAUGUGCUAGCUUUCCAUGAAUUUGACUUGCACCUUGCGGAUUCCACAAUUAAAAAACCUAUGGGAAGGAUCAAUGAUGUUCUUAUUGUUGCAAAUAGGAAUUAUGUGCCCGUAGAUUUUAUCGUUCUUGAUAUAGAUUGCAAUCUUUCAUGUCCUAUUAUUCUUGGUAGACCUUUCCUUAGAACAAUUGGUGCAAUUAUUGAUAUGAAGGAAGGGAAUAUUAGAUUCCAAUUUCCAUUAAGGAAAGGCAUGGAACACUUUCCAAGAAAGAAAGUCAAAUUACAUUAUGAAUCUAUUAUGCGUGCCACUUAUGAAUUGAAUGCCAAAGAUGACAAUAUUUAGAUCUAUUCUCGCUUUUAUGCCUAGCUAGGGGCGUUAAACGAUAGCGCUAGUUGGGACGCAACCCAAUUUUAUUUUUGGUACUUGCUUUUUGCUUCUGUUUAGUAAUAAAUAUUUCAUCUAGCCUCUGUUUAGAUGUGGUUUUAUGUUUUAAUUAGUGUUUGUGCCAAGUAGAACCUAUAGGAUAACCUACGAUGAUAGUUAAUUUGAUUCUUCUGAAAAACAGAAACUUUUGCACACACGAGAAUAAUUUUCGUAAAUCACAGAAAUAUGAUUUUGUGUUGAUUCUUUUUGAAGUAGAUCAGCAGACAAAUUUCCCAGUACCUACUAUUUUGGUAGGAGUUUUAGAGUUCCAGAAGUAUUCUAAAGUUACAUAUUUCUACAUACUAUUAUGUUUUUGACAGAUUCUGUUUUUUGUGUAUUGUUUGCUUAUUUUGAUGCAUCUAUGGAUAGUAUCGGGGGGUAUGAACCAUAGAGAAGUUGGAAUACAGUAGGUUUAACACCAAUAUAAAUAAAUAAUGAGUUCAUUACAGUACCUUAUGUGGUGGUUUUUCUUUCUUGCACUAACGGAGCUUAUGAGAUUUCCUGUUAAGUUUUGUGUUGUGAAGUUUCCAAGUUUUGGGUAAGGAUUUGAUGGACUAUGGAAUAAGGAGUGGCAAGAGCCCAAGCUUGGAGAUGACCAUGGCACCCCAAGAUAAUCCAAGUAUAACCAAAAGCCUAAGCUUGGGGAUGCCCCGGAAGGCAUCCCCUCUUUCGUCUUCGUCUAUCGGUAAGUUUACUUGGAGCUAUAUUGUUAUUCACCACAUGAUAUGUGUUUUGCUUGGAGCGUCUUGUAUGAUAUAAGUCUUUGCUUUUUAGUUUACCACAGUCAUCCUUGCUGUACACACCUUUCGGGAAAGACACACUUGAUUUGGAAUUUAUUAGAAUACUCUAUGUGCUUCACUUAUAUCUUUUGAGCUAGAUAGAUUUUGCUCUAGUGAUUCACUUAUAUCUUUUAGAGCACAGCAGUGGCUUUAUUUUGUAGAAAUUUUUGAUAUCUCAUGCUUAACUUAUAUUAUUUUGAGAGUCCUUUAGAACAUCAUGGUAUUUUCUAUGCUUAUAAAAUUUGUCCUAGAAUGAUGAGCAUCCAAGUAGGGUUUAAUAAAAACUAUCAUAGGAAGUGAAUUGGAUGCUAUGAUCAAUUUGAUGCUUGAUAAUUGUUUUCAGAUAUAGAGGUGGUGAUAUUAGAGCCAUGCUAGUUGAGUAAUUGUGAAUUUAAAGAAUACUUGUGUUGAAGUUGGCAAGUUCCGUAGCAAGCACGUAUGGUAAAAGUUGUGUAACAAAUUUGUUGCAUGAGGUGCUCUUUUGAUUGCCUUCCUUAUGUGUGGAGGUCGGGAUCGUGCGAUGGUUAACUCCUACCAACCCUUCCCCUAGGAUCAUGCAUAGUAGUACUUUGCUUCGAGGGCUAAUAAAACUUUUGCAAUAAGUAUAUGAGUUCUUUAUGACUAAUGUGAGUCCAUGGAUUAUACGCACUCUUACAUUUCCAUCAUUGCUAGCCUCUAUGGUACCGUGCAUUGCCGUUUCUCACCUUGAGAGUUGGUGCAAACUUCGCUGGUGCAUCCAAACCCCGUGAUACGAUAUGCUCUAUCACACAUAAACCUCCUUAUAUCUUCCUCAAAACAGCCACCAUACCUACCUAUUAUGGCAUUUCCAUAGCCAUUCCGAGAUAUAUUGCCAUGCAACUUUCCACCGUUCCGUUUAUCAUGACAUGCAUCAUCAUUGUCAUAUUGCCUUGCAUGAUCAUGUAGUUGACAUCAUAUUUGUGGCAAAGCCACCAUGCAUAAUUUUUCAUACAUGUCACUCAUGAUUCAUUGCCCAUCCCGGUACACCGCCGGAGGCAUUCAUAUAGAGUCAUAUCUUGUUCUAGUUUUGAGUUGUAAUUCAUGAGUUGUAAAUAAAUAGAAGUGUGACGAUCAUCAUUAUUAGAGCAUUGUCCCUUAUAAAAAAAGGAAAAAAAGAAAAAAAGAAAGGCCAAAGAAAAAAAGAAAAAAAA
Molecule: long non-coding RNA, 44081 nt
Filed under: Triticum aestivum (bread wheat)
Lineage: Eukaryota; Viridiplantae; Streptophyta; Magnoliopsida; Poales; Poaceae
Description: long non-coding RNA (TAES_LNC026929)
Source: RNAcentral